GACGAACGCUGGCGGCGUGCUUAACACAUGCAAGUCGAACGGAAAGGCCCUGCUUUUGUGGGGUGCUCGAGUGGCGAACGGGUGAGUAACACGUGAGUAACCUGCCCUUGACUUUGGGAUAACUUCAGGAAACUGGGGCUAAUACCGGAUAGGAGCUCCUGCUGCAUGGUGGGGGUUGGAAAGUUUCGGCGGUUGGGGAUGGACUCGCGGCUUAUCAGCUUGUUGGUGGGGUAGUGGCUUACCAAGGCUUUGACGGGUAGCCGGCCUGAGAGGGUGACCGGCCACAUUGGGACUGAGAUACGGCCCAGACUCCUACGGGAGGCAGCAGGGGGGAAUAUUGCACAAUGGGCGGAAGCCUGAUGCAGCAACGCCGCGUGCGGGAUGACGGCUUUCUGGUUGUAAACCGCUGUCGCCUGUGACGAAGCGUGAGUGACGGUAAUGGGUAAAGAAGCACCGGCUAACUACGUG
Molecule: ribosomal RNA, 468 nt
Filed under: uncultured bacterium
Lineage: Bacteria
Description: partial 16S ribosomal RNA
Rfam family: Bacterial small subunit ribosomal RNA
Source: RNAcentral